AACGAACGCUGGCGGCAUGCCUAGCACAUGCAAGUCGAACGAGACCUUCGGGUCUAGUGGCGCACGGGUGCGUAACGCGUGGGAACCUGCCCUUAGGUUCGGAAUAACUCCCCGAAAGGGGUGCUAAUACCGGAUAAUGUCUUCGGACCAAAGAUUUAUCGCCUUUGGAUGGGCCCGCGUUGGAUUAGCUAGUUGGUAGGGUAAAAGCCUACCAAGGCGACGAUCCAUAGCUGGUCUGAGAGGAUGAUCAGCCACACUGGGACUGAGACACGGCCCAGACUCGGAGGGGAGGGAGCGGGAGGGAAGAGCGAAGAGGGGGAGAAGGCGAGAGGCGAGAGGGCGGGUAGAGGGAGGAGGGGCGUGGGGUUGUAACGCUAGUGGACGGGGUAUGAUAAGGACAGUGACGGGAGAAUAACCUCGGGCAACUGCCGGGAAAGAGACCGGGGAAACCAGGGAAGCCCACGCGACCAACA
Molecule: ribosomal RNA, 473 nt
Filed under: uncultured bacterium
Lineage: Bacteria
Description: partial 16S ribosomal RNA
Rfam family: Bacterial small subunit ribosomal RNA (bases 27-298)
Source: RNAcentral